Corvus hawaiiensis (hawaiian crow) is the source of this 1574-nucleotide long non-coding RNA. RefSeq lists it as uncharacterized. The record is from RefSeq and is a predicted model, not a curated record. Lineage: Eukaryota; Metazoa; Chordata; Aves; Passeriformes; Corvidae. The transcript has 3 exons.
CGGCCGCGGGCAGCAGCCCGCUGCUCCGAGGGCAGGAGUCAGCUUCUGGUUAUGUUUGUUUCCUCAGAAACUUUUCGUCCUUGCGCGAUUUGGGUCCCCGCAGGGGUCAGUCAUCCAUCCAAACCUAAAGGACACGUUAAAUUUAACAGGACCGUGAACAUCACAGGAACAGGAGGUGCAAAUGCUGUGUCUAGUCACAGGCGACAUGCGGCUGCUCGCACGUACAGGUAGUUAACACUGUGCACGGCACUGCAUGCACCAUCCUUCCUGUCACUCUCCCUGCAGUGGAAGUUCAAAGGUGUAGGAGAGUCAACAAGUGAUGGAGAGGUGUUCAGAGUCGUGAGGAUUUCACUGUAAAGCUAGUACCAGUUUUAGAGUUGUGUGACAAAUAAUAACAGUACAUAAAAACAAAAUACCUGGCAAUACUCCAUCCUGAAAGCUCGAUAGGGAAAAAAAGAAAAGUAAACCAACACUGCUUCAGAGGACUGCCCUAAUGAGUAUAGGAGGAAUCAGUUUACCUUUAAGGAAAUGGUUAUUUACACUAUAUCUAGAGCUACAAAAACUAGGCCUUUUAAAGAUGUUAUUGGUGAGGUGGAACCUGGACUCUCUGCCUGUUUUUUAAAGAAAUGAAGUCAUGGCCUCUAGGCAACAGGUUUGUGCCAGCUUACAUGGUAUCCUAUCUCCUGAUUGAAAAGGGCUUCCCAUGGAAAAGGAGGCUAAAUUCCAGGUAUGUGGCAGUAAGCCCUCAACUGACUCUUUUCACAGUUUUGCCUGUAAGAUGUCAUGAUUAACUUCAUUUGCACCAUUCUUUUCAAAUACUGAUAAAGGCAUACAAGCCAGGAAUACACAGGUCCUGUCUCAAAGACAUGAGCUGUGAUUCAUAUCAGCAAUAAUCCUCUCCCCUUCUGGACUCCCAAGUAAAGCACCUGCAGGUCCGGCGAACUGGAACUUGGAAAUGCCACAACUGCAAAACCGAAAGGCACCUACACAGCCUGAUUUCCAGAGAUGUUGAGCACAUUCAUUGCUUCUGUGGCUGCUGAGCAACCCUGAAACUUAAGCAUGAUUCUGGCAAGCUGCUCUUGGUGACGAUGCUGCAUGCUCUCUGCUGGCUGUGCCUCAUCCUCAUCCUUCCUGCAGACCUUACAGCACCCACGGUUAGAAAGAUAAAUGUUGAAUUAUUACAAUGCUCUCCAUUCUUUGGGGCCUACUUUUCAUUUCAGCCUUUUAUUUAUCACUUGGCAUUCACAUUAACUCUCCAAAGCAAAAUUCCCGAUCCCAUUACACGGACACACUGGUCCAUUGUAGGAAUAUAUAGAAUUAUAGUAUCAUCCACCCAGUGCUUUCUGGGGCAUUCUUUGGAAAACCUGUGUCUGACCCGGACAGGACCUGGAGGUAAAAUGGGGUAAGGAUGAAAAGGCUCAGCUUCAGAUUAAUAAAAUGUACAACAUGUACAACUGUUGUGCAUCUUACACAGACUGCUGCUUUGGUCGAAAAUCAUAUUUUAGGGGAUGAGUUGGAGAAGAGUGAAGAUGCAAUAUAAUUACUUUCCUCCCCUAUCCAGAACCCUAUAUCUG